CAAACAUUUCAGUUACAGGAGGCAGUGAUGUGAUUGGAUGUUAUUUAACUAUGAACUUAUGUCUCCAUGGGCAGUCAAAAGAAUCAAAUUCUUUAUUGCCUGCUUUUGAGUUAGAAAGUAGAAGGUUUGUCUCCAUGAAAACAAUCAUAUGCCAUAACUGAUCUUAGAUACUAUUCACAUUAGUUUGUCUUUGCAUCUUGGUUGCUGUCUGGAGUCUGGACUGUGUGGGGAUUUAACAAACAUUUCAGUUACAGGAGUAUACAUUUAAUUAGGAAUUAUUUCUGCAAGUUUAAUCAAAUUUGAUGCUAUGGAAGCAUAGUUUAGGCAGAGAAAUAAGCUAUUAUAAACUUCUCUUGCACAUAUUUUUCUUUCAUUUUUCUUGUCUUGUUUUGAAAUACUUUUGGUAUCCAAGUCAUCAUGUUCUAGUCCAUAGAGUCCUUUAUUGUUAAUCUCCAUCCUCUACAAGUCAGCUUCUUAUGUGGUUCAAUGCCCCUGAAUAUUUUGUUAUAGGUCCUUUUUUUUUUUAGUCAGUGUUCAACAAUUAGAACAAUACUAUUAGUUUUUGAAAAACUAACUCAGCAAAUUAGUGUGGAAUCAAGCAUGCUUGUUAUGUUAGGUUCUUUGAGUUGUCUACGCUCUACAGCAACUGGAUUGUUUCUCAGGGCAAGGCUAAGGAGCAAUAGCCUAUUAGAUUUUGGUUUGGGGAUGUUAUAGAAACAAAAAGACCUAACUGGCUUAAGGGGGGAAGUGUUAAUAAAAUAUGUAGAUAUUUGUAAUCUACCUAGCUGAGAGGAGAAGUUGUUUUAUUUCUGCUAUGUGGGAAAAUGUAUCUUUGCUGCUGCUACUGUUCACCACUAGUCAUACAUCCAGGAUGCUGUGUGGUUAGCAGCCUUCGCAGUAAUUGUGAGGACUUGAGGAUAUGCUCUUAAUUUUUGAUAAUUUACUGGCAUUAUCUCUGAGGUUUACUGUGUUCAUUUUUUUUUCAAAGUUAUAUGUUGUCUUAUCUUUCCAUCCAUGAGCAUUGACUGCUGUCAUAUUUGACUUUAUGCUAUAUCAUCCUUGAUUUUCCAGGUAUUUUAGAGAGAAUGAUGA
RNAcentral lists this unclassified non-coding RNA (1092 nucleotides) under Hevea brasiliensis (rubber tree). The record is from RNAcentral. Lineage: Eukaryota; Viridiplantae; Streptophyta; Magnoliopsida; Malpighiales; Euphorbiaceae.